UUUUCCUGCCGUUGGCUCAAUUAUGAUGCGAUGCAUUGGAUGGUUGGGAAAACGUAAAAUACUGGUUUUUAACUUUUCUUGGCUUUUGUUAGAAAGCUAUGUAUUAAAAAAAAAUUAAAAAAAAAAAAACUCGACGGAAAAUGAUGCCACUAAGGGAAUAUCAAACGCACUCUUAUAUGCUACGAAUCGAUUGAGAUUUGGAACCAUCCAGUAAAAUAUAUUACAUGUGUUUUGAGUCAAUUUUAGUCUCUAGUGUCAUUGUGAAUCUUAAAUAAAUUUAUACGUGGGAUACAUUAAUUGAAUGGAUGCAGAAUAAUAUAGUAAAUUUUACUAUACUAAAUAUUUUCAUCUAGGAAAUUUUACUAUACUAAAUAUUUUAUUAAACAAAGACUGACUCAUUUUAAAGUCUAUUGCAAACUUCCAUAUGAUGAUGACUUACUUUGCCUAACCUAUUUUAAAGGAGAGGAACUUGCCAUGAACAAUCAUCUUGUUAUCACAUAACAAUUUGAUUAAAUUAUGUACAUGGAACAACUCGUUCGCAAAACUUCGAUGAUCAAUCUAAUACUUCCAUGACCAAUACAAUUAGCCAAGUUACUUGUGAUAAAACUGAAGGGCUUCAUCUUUCUCCCUCAAUUUUCUCGGAAACAAAACAAACCACAACCAGAACAGACGAACAUUAUGCCAAAAUUACAAAAGCCCCCACUUAAAAAACCAAAAAAUGCUUAAAAAAAAAAAAGUCUUACUUGCAAAACCUCAAGCUGGUAUUGUAAAUCAUCAAGAGCUGUCUGAAUUGCAUUCAAGCUCUUAGCCUCUUCAGUCGUCGAUGCCGAAUCAUAUAUCUAGAAAGACGAUUCUUGCCAUUGUCUUCAAUUACUCAAUAAGGUCAUAUUGUGAUUACACAAAAGAAAAAUCUAAAAAGUUGUUGAGAUAAGUGCGAUUCAAACUCUUAGCCUCUUGAAUCGCCCACCCAAAUCGCAUUGGAGCUGGUCUCUAUUACUUUUUGCCUUUCUCUUUUGCGAUGGUUAAUUAGGGAUUGCUUUUUCCUUUUGCAA
Molecule: long non-coding RNA, 1052 nt
Filed under: Citrus x clementina
Lineage: Eukaryota; Viridiplantae; Streptophyta; Magnoliopsida; Sapindales; Rutaceae
Description: Citrus clementina (C. clementina) long non-coding RNA (CCLE_LNC003350)
Source: RNAcentral